Long non-coding RNA from Cydia splendana, 1336 nucleotides. RefSeq lists it as uncharacterized. The record is from RefSeq and is a predicted model, not a curated record. Lineage: Eukaryota; Metazoa; Arthropoda; Insecta; Lepidoptera; Tortricidae. The transcript is spliced from 2 exons.
AACGCUCUCUUCUCCCGUGUCAUUCCUUGUGUGUGGUUAAGCUCCAAUAAAAUAAAUCUACAAAAUUAAGUAGUUUUAUUCCAAGAUAUAAUAUAGGCGACGAGGUCACUCGGACAGCACGCUGCAUCGACUAAAUUAACCAGGAGAACAUAAAAUUGGUCACAAGUAAGAAAUUAAUUACUAUAAAUAUAUGUGAUGUAAUGGCCGUGGCAAACGCACUUUGAGGUAUCUGCAAAUUAAAAGGUACCUUGAUAAAUCGUUAUUACCCACAUUCAUGGACCGACUAAACGUGAAAUGAAACGUUAUUAUGACAGAUGUCACGACGGGUAAGAAUGAAAAUCAAUUGACAUUGACAGAAGACGCUGACAAUGUUUUAAUAUAUUUGGUUAAACAAGGAAAAAGAAGUUACAUUUACCGGUGUGGAAAAGACAUUUUAAUAAAGAUAGUAAAUGAAGAAGGUUUACAGUGCCCGCAAAAUCCAACGGUGGACGCGUUACGAAAGUUGUUAAGUGAUUACUACCAAAAUAAAGAGCAAACCCAACCUAAAAUUUCAAAACACAAGACCAUGACAAACUACGAAAUAAAACCAUUUAACGGAGACAAUUGGGAGGUCUGCGAACAACAGUUAGAAUCUCUAAUACUCUUAAAUGAUGUGCCAGAAGAUAAAAAAGUGGCAUUGCUUAUUACUAAAAUAACCCCAAAUGUGUUUGAAACAUUACAAAUUUUGUGCAAGACAAAAAAAACAAUAACAUUAACUUACAAAAAGUUAGGCGACACGCUACGAGAAAAAUAUAAACUUACUAAGACACCAUUGUUAGACAGAGCUGAGUUUCGACGACGCAACCAACUACCUACUGAGUCAAUAGAAGAGUAUGUGUUAAAUCUCCGGAAAUUAUCUCGGACAUGCCAAUUCAAAGACGAAGACGACCAGAUUAAAGAAAAACUUGUUGACAGAGUGUACUCUAAGCUAAUUAAAUUUGAACUGAUGAAACAAAGUGCGCAGGCAAAAUUAGAAGACCUUAUAAACCUAGCAAAAACAGUAGAGUCCGCAUAUAAGCAAGCUAAUGGAGAAGAAGAAACUAGCAAUAUUUCAUAUGUUAAACCUAAUUCCAAAAUGCCAAGACAGAGGUAUGACAAAAAUACAAAGAAGAAUAACAACAUCAAAAAUAAAUGCUUCUGCUGCGGGAAGGACAAUCACGUCAAAAAAGAUUGUACCCUGAAGACAAAGUUUUGCUCGGAAUGUGGUCAGCAAGGUCAUAUAUAUAAAAUGUGCCCAAAGAAGUAUCGACAGACAAACAUUUUGGAUGUAUCGAAAGAAGAAAACAAAGGGGAACAA